GACAAAGAGCUACCGCAGCCUCUACCGUGUCGGUGGCCUCUGCGGCCUCAGAAUCCGGAAGGUGCAGAGGUGGUGGGGGUUGAGGGCCUCGACCUCUACCUGGGCUGCUCCUGAGUUAACCCCUUGAAUGCCAGCAGCGGUCUGCCACGCCGACCUCCUUCUGACUCCCUGAACAUAGAUCUGCUCUUGCCUCAGGGCCUUCGCACACGCUCUUCUGUUUGCUGGAGCAAAGAAAGCGUUCCCGUCCACCCUAUCCCAAAUGGCCGGUGCCCACUGCUCUCUACUCAACCUUGUUUCUUCCUCAUAGUGCAGCAUCGUGGCCUGCCAUCCAGCAGGUAUUCUAUAAAGUAUAUACUGAAUGUAUAGAUAAAAACCAUGAUGUGGGCAUCAGCACCAUCCUUUUCAGAGCGAAGCAAAAACAGACUGGUUAACAUCCCAGGCCAGUAGGAAAUCGAACCAUGGUCAACCAGGCUCUAGAAUGUUCCACAGAAUGUCACUCCACUUCCCAAGAAAGGGAAACUAACCACAGGUGCUCGCGGAGGCAUAAGAGACUGUACAGCUGCUGCCUCCCAGACUGCAACGGGGUCUGGGAGUGGGAGGCGCACAUGGAAGUGCUUUGCCCAGGCCAGCUCCAGAAAACAGGGGACAUCUGGGAAAAGUUCACUUCGGCCUGGGCUGGAACCACUGGCUAUCCCCAGGGCCCUUCUUCCAAAGCUCAUUAUGGGCUGGAAAGGAAAAUGACAACCAGCUAAAACCUGGCCCUCGCCUAACAACGUCCAGUGGCACAUGAGUGGCCCCGGGAACCCCUGCUGCCAGCAGCCCUGUGGCCACGCGUGGGUAGAGAGUGUCAAUCCUCACCUGCCCCUUGUCAUCCGACCUCCAGUGUCUGAGAACGAAGUCAGACGGGGCGGUGGAGGAAGCCUGCGGCACGGAGUGGGUGAGCAACGAGAAGAGGGUCUGAAAGAGUGUGAACCGCAAGGAUGAGUGGGAGCCAGGUCUCUGUCUCCGGGCUGGAGAUGCCACACAAGGGGGAGGACUCCAGGAGAACCCCUUGAAUACAAACUGGACGAGGGAGAAGUGACAGCUGGGAGAUGCCACUUAUUCUCCCUGAGCUCUGUCAAAUGCAAGGUCACCCACUUCCUUCUGGAAGUCGCUCCUCCUCUCCGGUGGCUGCUCGGUAUAGACUUGUGCCUGGGUGGCUGUGCAUCCUUCACACACCCUGCCUCUACAUCUAGCCACCUCUCACCCAUGAUCCGAUGGGUCUCCCACAGUGUCCACCUCUCCUUCCAACUCCUGGGUAUGCACAGAGCUCUGCUCUAUCUGUGGCACAUGCCCACAUGGCACCCUCUCCCACCUGCUCUCUCCACGAGCCUGCCCUGCAUAUUCCGAGAGCGUCUAUCCAUGUCUGGCGUAGCUACAUGCUUCGGACCUCUCUUUUCUAGUUUGCUUUUCAAAUCCAGACGUUCAUGCAUCCGCUGGUCCUGCUUCAUUGUGUCCGGGACAGCGAAGCAAGACUAAUUCUGUCUUCAGACCUCUUGGGGGAAUCCUCCUGCAGAGAGCUUGGUGGGGAAGCCUCCUGCUUGGUCCGCUGGCCUCUCUUCAGCUGCAGUGAAUGGUCCUUUGCUUGCCUGACCAGAGACAUCUGAUAGCCCAGAGGCCUGAACCGGCCCCUCAGGAACAGCCUAGGACAGCUCUGUCUUUGAGCUGGAGUCAAACAAGGACGAGCAUUCAGAGGCUUGGGUCGCUCAUUUGCUGUUGGCCCUGAGUUCCCAGCUGUGGCCACUUUGUGGCUCCCCAGAGUGAGGACGAUGGAGAGGUUGCUUAGGGCCAUUCCAGCAGGGGUCUCCAGCAAUGGUUUGCUGGGCAUUCAGCAACAUGUGAGAACCCAAAGCUGUUGACAGCAAGAGACGGGGUGUCUGUGUUUGGAGAGCUGCUAUUCCAGUGGAAGGCAUGUGAUUCCCUCCUCCGCCAUGCUCCCAGGUUUUAGGGAAACAAGAUACGCAUGGCAGAGCAGUGGUAGACUGGAAGGGAGUCAGGCCUGGGCUUUGCUAGGGUUCUGCCACUUUGAAGUUAGUUAGGCUGAGUUCCAUGUCCUGGCCUAUGUUGUAAAUCAACGUAAAGAACAUCUCAUUCGUGUUGUUGAAAUUAAAUGAGAUAAUUCCA
Molecule: non-coding RNA, 2163 nt
Organism: Peromyscus maniculatus bairdii (prairie deer mouse)
Lineage: Eukaryota; Metazoa; Chordata; Mammalia; Rodentia; Cricetidae
Source: RefSeq, a predicted model, not a curated record